GUAACGACUCUCGGCAACGGAUAUCUAGGCUCUCGCAUCGAUGAAGAACGUAGCGAAAUGCGAUACUUGGUGUGAAUUGCAGAAUCCCGUGAACCAUCGAGUCUUUGAACGCAAGUUGCGCCCGAAGCCAUCAGGCCGAGGGCACGCUUGCCUGGGCGUCACG
RNAcentral lists this ribosomal RNA (163 nucleotides) under Amphiasma benguellense. Its description in RNAcentral is "5.8S ribosomal RNA". It matches the Rfam family "5.8S ribosomal RNA". Rfam says of the family: 5.8S ribosomal RNA (5.8S rRNA) is a component of the large subunit of the eukaryotic ribosome. It is transcribed by RNA polymerase I as part of the 45S precursor that also contains 18S and 28S rRNA. Lineage: Eukaryota; Viridiplantae; Streptophyta; Magnoliopsida; Gentianales; Rubiaceae. The record is from RNAcentral.